GAUACCCUAUUAUUAAAAAUGUGAAUAUUUAAAUGCUUGAUUAUUAAAAGUUUAUGAUCUUAAAAAUUAAAAAUUUUGGCGGUAUUUUAGUCUAUUCAGAGGAAUCUGUCCUGUAAUCGAUAAUCCACGAUUUAAAUUACUUUUUUUAAAAAUUUGCAUAUCGUCGUAGUUUGAAUAUUUUAAAAGAAUUUUUAAUAUUCAAAAUUUUUAAUAAAAGUAAAUCAGAUCAAGGUGUAGUUUAUAAAAAAGUAGAGAUGGAUUACAUUAAAUAUAUUUAAAGAUUGUUAUUUUUAAAAUUUCAUGAAUUUGGAUUUGAUUGUAAUUUUUCUUAAUUAAAAAGAAUGAUUAUAAGCUCUAAAAUAUGCACAUAUC
RNAcentral lists this ribosomal RNA (372 nucleotides) under Strangalia luteicornis. RNAcentral's name for it is "partial 12S ribosomal RNA". The record is from RNAcentral. Lineage: Eukaryota; Metazoa; Arthropoda; Insecta; Coleoptera; Cerambycidae.